CUACGGGGGGCUGCAGUGAGGAAUAUUGCACAAUGGGGGAAACCCUGAUGCAGCAACGCCGCGUGGAGGAUGACGCAUUUCGGUGUGUAAGCUCCUUUUAUCAGAGAAGAAAAUGACGGUAUCUGAUGAAUAAGCUCCGGCUAACUCCGUGCCAGCAGCCGCGGUAAUACGGAGGGAGCAAGCGUUAUUCGGAAUCACUGGGCGUAAAGGACGCGUAGGCGGGUUUUUAAGUCAGGUGUGAAAUCCUAUGGCUCAACCAUAGAACUGCACUUGAAACUGGGGACCUAGAGUAUGGAAGGGGCAGGUGGAAUUAGUGGUGUAGGGGUAAAAUCCGUAGAUAUCACUAGGAAUACCGAAAGCGAAGGCGACUUGCUGGGACAUUACUGACGCUGAGGCGUGAAAGCGUGGGGAGCAAACAGGAUUAGAUACCCCCGUAGUC
This 439-nucleotide ribosomal RNA is filed under the name uncultured bacterium. RNAcentral describes it as "partial 16S ribosomal RNA". It matches the Rfam family "Bacterial small subunit ribosomal RNA", at positions 339 to 795 of the family's 1533-position model. The record is from RNAcentral.